CCACCACUCUCCGACAAGUCGCAAUAACGGAUGCCACUACUCUCCGUAACAAAUUCCACGUGGCCUCGAACGGUCCACUACCAGACAGUUACGGACGUCGCUGUCAAUCGGUUACGCUCUCUCAUCUAUAAAAGAGACCCCCCAGAUACGUUCUCCUCUAAGCUCUAAAAAACUGUCUCUAAACUCUGCUAAAAUCCCAUUCGAGUGCUCUAUUUCUAUUGAGGUAAAAUACUGACUU
RNAcentral lists this long non-coding RNA (238 nucleotides) under Elaeis guineensis (African oil palm). RNAcentral describes it as "long non-coding RNA (EGUI_LNC038240)". Lineage: Eukaryota; Viridiplantae; Streptophyta; Magnoliopsida; Arecales; Arecaceae. The record is from RNAcentral.